Molecule: ribosomal RNA, 1239 nt
Filed under: metagenome
Description: bacterial SSU rRNA
Rfam family: Bacterial small subunit ribosomal RNA
Source: RNAcentral
GUAACACGUGUGCAACCAACCCCGUACCGGGAGAUAACCCGCGGAAACGUGGACUAACAUCCCAUGAUACUCGAGGGCCGCAUGGCUCUCGAUUUAAAAUUCCGGUGGUACGGGACGGGCACGCGCGACAUUAGGUAGUUGGCGGGGUAACGGCCCACCAAGCCGACGAUGUCUAGGGGUUCUGAGAGGAAGGUCCCCCACACUGGAACUGAGACACGGUCCAGACUCCUACGGGAGGCAGCAGUGAGGAAUAUUGGUCAAUGGGCGAGAGCCUGAACCAGCCAAGUCGCGUGAGGGAAGAAUGGUCUAUGGCCUGUAAACCUCUUUUGUCAGGGAAGAAUAAGGAUGACGAGUCAUUCGAUGCCAGUACUUGACGAAUAAGCAUCGGCUAACUCCGUGCCAGCAGCCGCGGUAAUACGGGGGAUGCGAGCGUUAUCCGGAUUUAUUGGGUUUAAAGGGCGCGUAGGCGGGACGUCAAGUCAGCGGUAAAAGACUGCAGCUAAACUGUAGCACGCCGUUGAAACUGGCGCCCUGGAGACGAGACGAGGGAGGCGGAACAAGUGAAGUAGCGGUGAAAUGCAUAGAUAUCACUUGGAACCCCGAUAGCGAAGGCAGCUUCCCAGGCUCGUUCUGACGCUGAUGCGCGAGAGCGUGGGUAGCGAACAGGAUUAGAUACCCUGGUAGUCCACGCCGUAAACGAUGCUCACUGGAUCUUGGCGAUACACUGCCAGGGUUCAAGCGAAAGUAUUAAGUGAGCCACCUGGGGAGUACGUCGGCAACGAUGAAACUCAAAGGAAUUGACGGGGGCCCGCACAAGCGGAGGAACAUGUGGUUUAAUUCGAUGAUACGCGAGGAACCUUACCCGGGUUUAAAUGUAGAUUGCAUGAGGUGGAAACGCUUCUUCCCUUCGGGGCUAUUUACAAGGUGCUGCAUGGUUGUCGUCAGCUCGUGCCGUGAGGUGUCGGGUUAAGUCCCAUAACGAGCGCAACCCCUAUCGCCAGUUGCCAUCGGUUCAAGCCGGGCACUCUGUCGAGACUGCCACCGUAAGGUGCGAGGAAGGCGGGGAUGACGUCAAAUCAGCACGGCCCUUACACCCGGGGCGACACACGUGUUACAAUGGCCGGUACAGAGGGCAGCCACGGGGUGACCCGGAGCGAAUCUCUAAAGCCGGUCGUAGUUCGGACUGGAGUCUGCAACCCGACUCCACGAAGUUGGAUUCGCAAGUAAUCGCGCAUCAGC